RNAcentral lists this ribosomal RNA (504 nucleotides) under uncultured bacterium. RNAcentral describes it as "partial 16S ribosomal RNA". It matches the Rfam family "Bacterial small subunit ribosomal RNA", at positions 30 to 523 of the family's 1533-position model. The record is from RNAcentral.
AUUGAACGCUGGCGGCAGGCCUAACACAUGCAAGUCGAACGGUAGCACAGAGAGCUUGCUCUCGGGUGACGAGUGGCGGACGGGUGAGUAAUGUCUGGGAAACUGCCCGAUGGAGGGGGAUAACUACUGGAAACGGUAGCUAAUACCGCAUAACGUCGCAAGACCAAAGUGGGGGACCUUCGGGCCUCACACCAUCGGAUGGGCCCAGAUGGGAUUAGCUAGUAGGUGGGGUAAUGGCUCACCUAGGCGACGAUCCCUAGCUGGUCUGAGAGGAUGACCAGCCACACUGGAACUGAGACACGGUCCAGACUCCUACGGGAGGCAGCAGUGGGGAAUAUUGCACAAUGGGCGCAAGCCUGAUGCAGCCAUGCCGCGUGUAUGAAGAAGGCCUUCGGGUUGUAAAGUACUUUCAGCGGGGAGGAAGGCGGUGAAGUUAAUAACUUCACCGAUUGACGUUACCCGCAGAGGAAGCACCGGCUAACUCCGUGCCAGCAGCCGCCGUAA